AAUCUUCUGCAAUGGUCGUCGGUCUGACGGCGUGAUGCCGCGUGAGUGAUGAAGGUCUUCGGAUCGUAUAAUUCUGUCGUUAGGGAAGAACAAGGAUCGUUGUAAUAUGUCGGUACCUUGACGUUACCUAACCAGAAAGCUCCGGCUAACUAAGUGCUAGCAGCCGCGGUAAUACGUAGGGGGCAAUCGUUGUCCGGAAUUUUUGGGCGUAACGGGCACGAAGGCGGUUAUAUUAGUCUGAUGUGAAAUCUUGUGGCUUAACCACAAGCGGUCAUUGGAAACUGGAUAACUUGAGUACAGAAGAAGAGAGUGGAAUUCCACGUGUAGCGGUGAAAUGCGUAGAGAUGUGGAGGAACACCAGUGGCGAAGGCGGCUCUCUGGUCUGUAACUGACGCUGAGGUGCGAAAGCGUGGGUAGCGAACA
Molecule: ribosomal RNA, 423 nt
Filed under: uncultured bacterium
Lineage: Bacteria
Description: partial 16S ribosomal RNA
Rfam family: Bacterial small subunit ribosomal RNA
Source: RNAcentral